Molecule: long non-coding RNA, 235 nt
Organism: Hyla sarda
Lineage: Eukaryota; Metazoa; Chordata; Amphibia; Anura; Hylidae
Exons: 3
Source: RefSeq, a predicted model, not a curated record
CGCACGACAUCGCCGGACUCCGAUCUCCUCAACCGAUGGUCGCCCACAGCCUCGCCCGCGGGGCAGCUGUCUAGAAGCUCCAGGCCCCUGACUGCCCUCCUGUUCCUCUUUGACAAGUGAGCAGAGCCGAUAUACGCCCAGAUACGAGGCAGCUGUCUAGAAGCUCCAGGCCCCUGACUGCCCUCCUGUUCCUCUUUGACAAGUGAGCAGAGCCGAUAUACGCCCAGAUACGAGG